UAAGGAAUAUUGGUCAAUGGAGGCAACUCUGAACCAGCCAUGCCGCGUGAAGGAUUAAGGCCCUCUGGGUUGUAAACUUCUUUUAUAUGGGAAGAAAUGUUCUGAUUCUUCAGAGCUUGACGGUACCAUAGGAAUAAGCACCGGCUAACUCCGUGCCAGCAGCCGCGGUAAUACGGAGGGUGCAAGCGUUAUCCGGAUUCACUGGGUUUAAAGGGUGCGUAGGUGGGCAGAUAAGUCAGUGGUGAAAUCUUCCGGCUUAACCGGAAAAUUGCCGUUGAGACUAUUUGUCUUGAAUAUUGUGGAGGUAAGCGGAAUAUGUCAUGUAGCGGUGAAAUGCUUAGAUAUGACAUAGAACACCAAUUGCGAAGGCAGCUUACUAUAUAAUUAUUGACACUGAGGCACGAAAGCGUGGGUAGCGAACA
RNAcentral lists this ribosomal RNA (422 nucleotides) under uncultured bacterium. Its description in RNAcentral is "bacterial SSU rRNA". It matches the Rfam family "Bacterial small subunit ribosomal RNA", at positions 355 to 774 of the family's 1533-position model. The record is from RNAcentral.